Molecule: ribosomal RNA, 2223 nt
Filed under: Clostridioides difficile
Lineage: Bacteria; Bacillati; Bacillota; Clostridia; Peptostreptococcales; Peptostreptococcaceae
Description: bacterial LSU rRNA
Rfam family: Bacterial large subunit ribosomal RNA
Source: RNAcentral
AGGGUGCAGGGCGGAUGCCUUGGCACUAGGAGCCGAUGAAGGACGUGAUAAGCUGCGAUAAGCUUCGGGGAGUUGCACGUAAACUUUGAUCCGAAGAUUUCCGAAUGAGGAAACUCACUUAGAGUAAUGUCUAAGUAUCAUUAAGUGAAUACAUAGCUUAAUGAGGGGAACUCAGGGAACUGAAACAUCUAAGUACCUGAAGGAAGAGAAAGAAAUUCGAUUCCGUAAGUAGCGGCGAGCGAACGCGGAUUAGCCCAAACCAAUAAAGUUUUCUUUAUUGGGGUUGCGGACAUAUCAUAACGAAGAGGUAUCGUAAUUGAAGAGGUUUGGAAAGACCCACCACAGAAGGUAAUAGUCCUGUAUGUUAAACGAGAAGACUUCAGAUAUGAUCCAGAGUACCACGGGACACGUGAAACCCUGUGGGAAGCAGGAGGGACCACCCUCCAAGGCUAAAUACUACCUAGUGACCGAUAGCGUAUAGUACCGUGAGGGAAAGGUGAAAAGAACCCCGGGAGGGGAGUGAAAUAGAACCUGAAACCCUGCACUUACAAGCUGUGGAAGCACAUUUCUUGUGUGACCGCGUACUUUUUGUAGAACGGGCCAACGAGUUACGUUAAGUAGCAAGGUUAAGCACUUAAGGUGCGGAGCCGUAGCGAAAGCGAGUUUUAACUGAGCGUUCAGUUACUUGACGUAGACCCGAAACCGGGCGACCUACCCAUGAGCAGGAUGAAGCGAAAGUAAAAUUUCGUGGAGGUCCGAACCCACGAGCGUUGAAAAGCUCGGGGAUGACUUGUGGGUAGCGGUGAAAUUCCAAUCGAGCCCGGAGAUAGCUGGUUCUCCCCGAAAUAGCUUUAGGGCUAGCCUCAAGGUGAGAGAUACGGAGGUAGAGCACUGAAUGUCCUAGGGGGUAUUGCACCUACCGAAGACUAUCAAACUCCGAAUGCCGUCAUCUUAUACUUGGGAGUCAGACUGUGGGUGAUAAGAUUCAUAGUCGAAAGGGCAACAGCCCAGAUCGUCAGCUAAGGUCCCUAAAUGUAAGUUAAGUGGUAAAGGAUGUGGGAUUGCACAGACAACCAGGAUGUUGGCUUAGAAGCAGCCACUCAUUCAAAGAGUGCGUAAUAGCUCACUGGUCGAGUGAUCCUGCGCCGAAGAUUUCCGGGGCUAAAACUUACUACCGAAGCUACGGCAUCAGUAAUGAUGGGUAGGGGAGCUUCCCAUACGGGUUGAAGCAUGACCGUAAGGACAUGUGGACAGUAUGGGAGUGAGAAUGUUGGCAUGAGUAGCGAGAUGUGGGUGAGAAUCCCACAGGCCGUAAACCCAAGGUUUCCAGGGGAAGGUUCGUCCGCCCUGGGUUAGUCGGGACCUAAGCUGAGGCCGAAAGGCGUAGGUGAUGGACAACAGGUUGAUAUUCCUGUACUACCGAUAACCGUUUGAGAGAAGGGAUGACACAGUAGGAUAAGCUAAGCACACUGUUGGUUAUGUGUGCCCAAGCAUUGAGGCAGUCAAAGUAGGCAAAUCCGCUUUGAUAAUGCUGGGAUGUGAUGGGGAGCGAAAUUUAGUAGCGAAGUAGCUGAUUUCACACUGUCAAGAAAAGUCUCUAUCGAGGUUAAAGGUACCCGUACCGCAAACCGACACAGGUGGGUGAGGAGAGUAUCCUAAGGCCAGCGAGAGAACUGUUGUUAAGGAACUCGGCAAAAUGACCCCGUAACUUAGGGAUAAGGGGUGCCACCAUCAGGUGGCCGCAGAGAAUAGGCCCAAGCGACUGUUUACCAAAAACAUAGGUUUCUGCUAAGUCGCAAGACGAUGUAUAGGAGCUGACGCCUGCCCGGUGCUGGAAGGUUAAGGGGAUCUGUUAGAGCAAUCGAAGCAGUGAACUUAAGCCCCAGUAAACGGCGGCCGUAACUAUAACGGUCCUAAGGUAGCGAAAUUCCUUGUCGGGUAAGUUCCGACCCGCACGAAAGGCGUAACGAUUUGGGCACUGUCUCAACAACAGACUCGGUGAAAUUGUAAUUCCGGUGAAGAUGCCGGAUACCUGCGACAGGACGGAAAGACCCCAUGGAGCUUUACUGUAGCUUGACAUUGGGUCUUGGUACUACAUGUACAGGAUAGGUGGGAGGCUUUGAAACCAGGACGCCAGUUUUGGCGGAGCCAUCCUUGGGAUACCACCCUUGUAGUACUGGGACUCUAACCAUAGGCCAUGAAUCUGGUCUUGGGACACUGUCA